Molecule: ribosomal RNA, 490 nt
Filed under: uncultured bacterium
Lineage: Bacteria
Description: partial 16S ribosomal RNA
Rfam family: Bacterial small subunit ribosomal RNA
Source: RNAcentral
GAUGAACGCUAGCUACAGGCUUAACACAUGCAAGUCGCGGGGCAGCAUGGGGGUUGCUUGCAAUCCCCGAUGGCGACCGGCGCACGGGUGAGUAACGCGUAUCCAACCUGCCCUUCACCACGGGAUAACCCGGCGAAAGUCGGACUAAUACCGUAUGUUGUCCAUUGACGGCAUCCGAUUUGGACGAAAGGUUUGGCGGUGAAGGAUGGGGAUGCGUCCGAUUAGCUGGACGGCGGGGUGACGGCCCACCGUGGCGACGAUCGGUAGGGGUUCUGAGAGGAAGGUCCCCCACACUGGAACUGAGACACGGUCCAGACUCCUACGGGAGGCAGCAAUGAGGAAUAUUGGUCAAUGGGCGUAAGCCUGAACCAGCCAAGUAGCGUGCAGGAUGACGGCCCUAUGGGUUGUAAACUGCUUUUAUGCGGGGAUAAAGUGGCCCACGUGUGGGUUUUUGCAGGUACCGCAUGAAUAAGGACCGGCUAAUUCCGUG